Aspergillus brasiliensis CBS 101740 is the source of this 82-nucleotide transfer RNA. It matches the Rfam family "tRNA". From Rfam's summary of the family: Transfer RNA (tRNA) molecules are approximately 80 nucleotides in length. NCBI's taxonomy places the organism in Eukaryota, Fungi, Ascomycota, Eurotiomycetes, Eurotiales, Aspergillaceae. The record is from Rfam.
GCCCUUGUGGCGCAAUCGGUAGCGCGUAAGACUUCUAGGAAGUUGAUCUUAAGGCUGUGGGUUCCGACCCCCACCAGGGGCU